UACGAGGGGGGCGAGCGUUGUUCGGAAUUAUUGGGCGUAAAGGGUGCGUAGGCGGUUUGGUAAGUCUUAUGUGAAAUCUACAGGCUCAACUUGUAGUCUGCAUGAGAAACUGCCGGGCUUGAGUAUGGGAGAGGGUAGUGGAAUUCCCGGUGUAGCAGUGAAAUGCGUAGAGAUCGGGAGGAACACCAGUGGCGAAGGCGGCUACCUGGACCAGCAUUGACACUCAAGCACGAAAGCGUGGGGAGCAAACAGG
RNAcentral lists this ribosomal RNA (253 nucleotides) under uncultured bacterium. RNAcentral describes it as "partial 16S ribosomal RNA". It matches the Rfam family "Bacterial small subunit ribosomal RNA", at positions 524 to 776 of the family's 1533-position model. The record is from RNAcentral.